This 443-nucleotide ribosomal RNA is filed under the name uncultured bacterium. RNAcentral describes it as "partial 16S ribosomal RNA". It matches the Rfam family "Bacterial small subunit ribosomal RNA", at positions 338 to 795 of the family's 1533-position model. The record is from RNAcentral.
CCUACGGGAGGCAGCAGUGGGGAAUAUUGGGCAAUGGAGGCAACUCUGACCCAGCAACGCCGCGUGAAUGAUGAAGGUCUUCGGAUUGUAAAGUUCUUUUCUAAGGGAAGAAGAAAGUGACGGUACCUUAGUAAUAAGCUUCGGCUAACUACGUGCCAGCAGCCGCGGCAAUACGUAGGAGGCAAGCGUUAUCCGGAAUGACUGGGCGUAUAGGGUGCGUAGUUGGUUUGACAAGUUAGUAGCGCAACUCCGGAGCUCACCUUCGGAACUACUACUAAAACUGGUGGACUUGAGUGCAGGAGGGGCAAUCGGAAUUCCUAGUGUAGCGGUGGAAUGCGUAGAUAUAAGGAGGAACACCAGUGGCGAAGGCGGAUUGCUAGACUGUAACUGACACUGAGGCACGAAAGCGUGGGGAGCAAACAGGAUUAGAUACCCUAGUAGUC